GCAUCGAUAGCUCAGUGGCAGAGCGGCUUUUAUUCAUGCGGCUCGGAUUCGAGCCCGGUCGAUGCA
Phthorimaea operculella (potato tuberworm) is the source of this 66-nucleotide non-coding RNA. Lineage: Eukaryota; Metazoa; Arthropoda; Insecta; Lepidoptera; Gelechiidae. The record is from the annotation of a GenBank genome assembly.